Molecule: non-coding RNA, 144 nt
Filed under: Brassica rapa (field mustard)
Lineage: Eukaryota; Viridiplantae; Streptophyta; Magnoliopsida; Brassicales; Brassicaceae
Source: RNAcentral
CUCUUUUUCACGUGAACAUUUAGAACACACUUUAUUCGUGUAUGUCUUCGUGACUGAUAGACUCGCAUGUAGUCUAUAACGUGUCAAGUAACGACAAAUAUAUACAUGUAUAAGGUGUGUUUCUGAAUGUUUACGUGUAAAGAA